GAGAAGUUACAUAUGCUUCAAAUAUUUCUUCCCUGGUUGUUUUCCUUUUCAGCCAGCCCUCUGUUCUUGACCCAUUCAUCUUUUGCAUACUUAGAGAGUUUCUUAUCUAUUUUCAUAGGCUCCUGCACGAUGAGGAUAAUAACUCUUCAUCCCCCAUCACUGUUUGUACGUUCCUUUACAGCAGGGGUCCCUAGCCCCCAGGCCAGUACUGCUCUCAGCCUUUAGGUGUGAGGAACCCGGCACAAAGCAGGAAGUCAGCAGAGUAAGCAAAGCUUCAUCUGCAUUUACAGCCACCUCCAACAGCUGAAAUUACUGCCUGAGCUCUGCCUCCUGUCAGAUCAGCCACAGCAUCAGAUACUCACAGGAGCAAGAACUCUGUCGUGAGCUGUGCAUGCGAGGGAUCUAGACUGCGUGCUCCUUAUGAGAGUCUAAUGCCUGAUGACCUGUCGCUAUCUUCCAUCACCCCCAGGUGGGACGAUCUAGUUGCAAGAAAACAAGCUCAGGUCUCCCACUAAUUCUACAUGAUGUUUCCCAGGUAAUUCUGAUCCACAUCAAAGCUCGAAGACCACUAGACAAUCAUUGAGAAGGUGUAUAUUGUUCAGCUCCUGCAACAGAAGAGAUUUUCCUAAAUGGCCUCUCCACUCACAUGGAGGAAUGCUAAUAAGGACCUGCUCUACAAACUCAUUCCUGCAGUACUCUAGACAUGAUGUUGAAGCUGCUGUUUAUCCUUUCUGUGAAGCUCCAUGUGAAAGAAAAAAUUUUAAACCCACUGGUCUAGCAAAUCUUGGUUCAUCCUGAAGCAUUAAUAUACUUUGAGGGAGGGGAAAUAGGAACAGCGAGUAUUUGUAAUUAUAUUUUUCAUUUCCUUUUGGUGGCCAGGAUUCUUUCCUCAAUUUGAGUUUUCAUACCUAUUCUUUUGCCUGAUGGAAUCGUAUGAAAUUCUUGGAUUUCCACCAGAUGUGUCCUUCUAUUAUCUGUACAUUUUCUACAUAUAUGUCAUAUGCCAGAAUUUAACACUGAUUUUCCUGUUUAUCAGAAUGCUUAUAUUCCUGGAUGCCUUCUCAGAGCCUUUUUGUAGAAUGAUAGAAUGAGGCACGGCGAGUGUGCGCGUGUGUGGUUGCUUAUCCACCUAUUUAUAUUUCUUUAAAAAAAUAUUUAUUUAUGGCUGGGCGCGGUGGCUCAUGCCUGUAAUCCCAGCACUUUGGGAGGCUGAAACGGGUGGAUCAUGAGGUCAGGAGAUCGAGACCAUCCUGGCUAACAUGGUGAAACCCCGUCUCUACUAAAAAUACAAAAAAAAAAAAUUAGCCGGGUGUGGUGGUGGGCACCUGUAGUUCCAGCUACUCGGGAGGCUGAGGCAGAAUGGUGUAAACCCAGGAGGCAGAGCUUGCAGUGAGCCGCGAUCAUGCCACUGCACUCCAGCCUGGGUGACAGAGUGAGACUACAUCUCAAAAACAAAACAACAACAACAAAA
This 1471-nucleotide long non-coding RNA is filed under the name Homo sapiens (human). Its description in RNAcentral is "HSALNT0124176". The record is from RNAcentral. Lineage: Eukaryota; Metazoa; Chordata; Mammalia; Primates; Hominidae.